Molecule: ribosomal RNA, 491 nt
Filed under: uncultured bacterium
Lineage: Bacteria
Description: bacterial SSU rRNA
Rfam family: Bacterial small subunit ribosomal RNA
Source: RNAcentral
AUUGAACGCUGGCGGCAUGCUUUACACAUGCAAGUCGAACGGUAACAGGCCUUCGGGUGCUGACGAGUGGCGAACGGGUGAGUAAUAUAUCGGAACGUACCUUUCAGUGGGGGAUAACGUAGCGAAAGUUGCGCUAAUACCGCAUAUUCUGUGAGCAGGAAAGCAGGGGAUCGCAAGACCUUGCGCUGAUUGAGCGGCCGAUAUCAGAUUAGCUAGUUGGUGAGGUAAAGGCUCACCAAGGCGACGAUCUGUAGCGGGUCUGAGAGGAUGAUCCGCCACACUGGAACUGAGACACGGUCCAGACUCCUACGGGAGGCAGCAGUGAGGAAUAUUGGUCAAUGGAGGCAACUCUGAACCAGCCAUGCCGCGUGUAGGACGAAUGCCCUCUGGGUUGUAAACUACUUUUAUUGGGGAAGAAACCCUCUUACGUGUAAGAGGCUGACGGUACCCAAGGAAUAAGGACCGGCUAACUCCGUGCCAGCAGCCGACGG